AUCUUUGCGCUUGGGGCAAUGUCGCAGACUGUGAGGUCUAACCGAGUCGCUGGUUGAAAACUUAUUCCUUCCCCGUCGGUCGUGUCCCGCAAGGGACCUUCCGCAAUAUUUGGCGGCUUCACGGCC
Molecule: small nuclear RNA, 126 nt
Filed under: Gonium pectorale
Lineage: Eukaryota; Viridiplantae; Chlorophyta; Chlorophyceae; Chlamydomonadales; Volvocaceae
Description: U4 spliceosomal RNA
Rfam family: U4 spliceosomal RNA
About the family: U4 small nuclear RNA (U4 snRNA) is a component of the major U2-dependent spliceosome.
Source: Rfam by way of RNAcentral